GUAGCUUGUUGGCGGGGUAACGGCCCACCAAGGCUACGAUCAGUAGGGGUUCUGAGAGGAAGGUCCCCCACAUUGGAACUGAGACACGGUCCAAACUCCUACAGGAGGCAGCAGUGAGGAAUAUUGGUCAAUGGACGAGAGUCUGAACCAGCCAAGUAGCGUGCAGGAUGACGGCCCUAUGGGUUGUAAACUGCUUUUAUAAGGGAAUAAAGUGAGCCUCGUGAGGCUUUUUGCAUGUACCUUAUGAAUAAGGACCGGCUAAUUCCGUGCCAGCAGCCGCGGUAAUACGGAAGGUCCGGGCGUUAUCCGGAUUUAUUGGGUUUAUAGGGAGCGUAGGCCGGAGAUUAAGCGUGUUGUGAAAUGUAGACGCUCAACGUCUGCACUGCAGCGCGAACUGGUUUCCUUGAGUACGCACAAAGUGGGCGGGAUUCGUGGUGUAGCGGUGAAAUGCUUAGAUAUCACGAAGAACUCCGAUUGCGAAGGCAGCUCACUGGAGCGCAACUGACGCUGAAGCUCGAAAGUGCGGGUAUCGAACAGGAUUAGAUACCCUGGUAGUCCGCACGGUAAACGAUGGAUGCCCGCUGUUGGUCUGAAUAGGUCAGCGGCCAAGCGAAAGCAUUAAGCAUCCCACCUGGGGAGUACGCCGGCAACGGUGAAACUCAAAGGAAUUGACGGGGGCCCGCACAAGCGGAGGAACAUGUGGUUUAAUUCGAUGAUACGCGAGGAACCUUACCCGGGCUUGAAUUGCAGAGGAAGGAUUUGGAGACAAUGACGCCCUUCGGGGCCUCUGUGAAGGUGCUGCAUGGUUGUCGUCAGCUCGUGCCGUGAGGUGUCGGCUUAAGUGCCAUAACGAGCGCAACCCCUCUCCUUAGUUGCCAUCAGGUUAAGCUGGGCACUCUGGGGACACUGCCACCGUAAGGUGUGAGGAAGGUGGGGAUGACGUCAAAUCAGCACGGCCCUUACGUCCGGGGCUACACACGUGUUACAAUGGCAGGUACAGAGAGACGGUUGUACGUAAGUACGAUCAAAUCCUUAAAGCCUGUCUCAGUUCGGACUGGGGUCUGCAACCCGACCCCACGAAGCUGGAUUCGCUAGUAAUCGCGCAUCAGCCAUGGCGCGGUGAAUACGUUCCCGGGCCUUGUACACACCGCCCGUCAAGCCAUGAAAGCCGGGGGCGCCUAAAGUCCGUGACCGUAAGGAGCGGCCUAGGGCGAAACUGGUAAUUGGGGCUAAGUCGUAACAAGGUA
Molecule: ribosomal RNA, 1247 nt
Filed under: metagenome
Description: bacterial SSU rRNA
Rfam family: Bacterial small subunit ribosomal RNA
Source: RNAcentral